RNAcentral lists this ribosomal RNA (253 nucleotides) under uncultured bacterium. RNAcentral describes it as "partial 16S ribosomal RNA". It matches the Rfam family "Bacterial small subunit ribosomal RNA", at positions 524 to 776 of the family's 1533-position model. The record is from RNAcentral.
UACGAAGGGGGCUAGCGUUGCUCGGAAUCACUGGGCGUAAAGCGCACGUAGGCGGAUCUUUAAGUCAGGGGUGAAAUCCUGGAGCUCAACUCCAGAACUGCCCUUGAUACUGGGGAUCUUGAGUCCGGAAGAGGUGAGUGGAACUGCGAGUGUAGAGGUGAAAUUCGUAGAUAUUCGCAAGAACACCAGUGGCGAAGGCGGCUCACUGGCUCGGUACUGACGCUGAGGUGCGAAAGCGUGGGGAGCAAACAGG